This is a non-coding RNA of Heterocephalus glaber (naked mole-rat), 1959 nucleotides long. The record is from RefSeq and is a predicted model, not a curated record. NCBI's taxonomy places the organism in Eukaryota, Metazoa, Chordata, Mammalia, Rodentia, Bathyergidae.
UUUAUUUUGGCUCAAGGUUUCAGAGGGUUCAGUCCAUCAAUAGUCUACUGGCUCCAAAACAGAAAUGGCAUGGAGGGAGGGCAUGCCCCAGGAAUGCUGCUCAACUCAUGGCAGCCAGGAAACAGAGAGUGAGAGAAGAGGAAGUGGGGUAGAAUACACUCCUCCAGGCUGCACCCCCAGGGACCACUGCCAACCAAACCCCACUUCCUAAAAGCACAACCAGCUACUGGACUCAUCAGUGGAUGAAUCCGCUGGUGACAACAGCACUAACUUUCAAGGCAGUAGGAGUUGUCACAAUACUUAAAAUAAAAAUGAAACGAUGCUGUGUUUUACUCGGUGUAAAAAACAUAGGAACAUUUGCUUCCAUAGAACAUGAGUUGUUGGCAUUUUCUGAACAAUUCCAGAUAGUGUUUUGCUAAAAGGAUUAAGUAGGAGAAAAAGUUUUUAAUGCCAAGGAAUUUAAUUUGUUUGAAGUGAUGACUCAUAGAAUUACUACUAGUUGAAUUUUAAAAUACAUUUUAUGUUACUUUUUACCCUAAUCUUCUGUUUUCUACCAAGCCUCGAUCUUGCGAAUUCUGAGUUUGCUGACAACACCAACUUCAGCUUUUGAAGGAGAAGAGACCGUGUCCCUGUGAACUGUGAGUUCAUUCUCUCCUGCCCACCUGAUGUCGGGCUGUGGGCUCCAGAGCAAGAAGAGGAUACACGGAGGCAGCGGUGGGCCUCCCUGCACCCCUGAGCCCUACGCUUCCUCCUCCCCGCUUCAUCAAGAGGAUCCAGAUGCAUCGAGUCACAACCCCAGCGGCUUCCUACUCAUUUCAGAGGAAGCGCAGGAAAGGAAAGUCAGCCGGCAGCAGGGGGCGCCCGCGUCUCGCUCUCAGCUUCCUCCGGGCGUCCUGGAGCCCGGCUCAGCUCCAGCAAAGGCGGGAGAGCGCUGAGGCCCUGCACAUCCAUCCAGUCCCCACCAGCCACCUCUCCCCAAGGUCCCGAGAAGUGGGACUUGGAGAAGUGGGCUGAGUGCUUCGCCCGCACUGCGCCACCGUCCUUGGCCUCGACCCAGCGUGGGCCACCGGGCCUUUCAACGGGUGGCUGGAGAAAAGUGGAUGCCGUUGAGGGAAAGGGACGCGAGCCUCCGCCAGGGGGCGCCGGGGAGCAGAGCAGCCUGGUCCCCCAGGCCUGCUUUUCUUUACCCAUCUGACUCUGCGCACCUCACUUCUCUUUUUUCUCUUUCUUUAGCUGUUUUUUUCCCCCUCAUUACCUGGGCAGAGGAGUCACAGAGAGCCUUAGACCUCCUAUGCAUACGCUGUAGACCUUCGCAUCCUCGUCCUCCAGGCAGCCUACCUGUGACAGGGUGCAGCAGCCCAAAGCCUGGAGAGUGGGGGGCAAAAUAAGUGGACAGGUGCUGGCAUCUCACUCAAUGGUCCCCACCCACCACAGGGAAGCAAGAGACAGUCCGGGGACCGGUGGGGCCUCAAUUUCCUCGUUUAAAACGGCCUCGGCAAGUUAGAUUGAACACUGCAUUAAAUGCACUUAAGCAUUUAACUUUGUGAGGAUAAAAUAUGUGUGCAGAAGCUUUUGAAAAACUCCAAGAAAUCACUGCCUCUUGAUAUCCAUGCCCCUGUAUAAGCCUUUUCAUUGGAUUGUGGGCCGGGCCUGGGGGCUCUAGCAAAUAGAAGGGAGGAUGGAAAAAGACAAUGAAUAUAUACAUUUAAAAAAUGUAUUGCAGGUAAAGAUGCAUCGCCAUGAAUUACCCUCAAAAUACCCACUCCCUGCUUUGAACACACUUUAUCCCAUUGUUCUUGCCACUUUCUGAAACAGUUCUGAGCGUUCUCUUUCAUGAGUGUCUUUAUGAGAUGUGAUUAAAAAAAUACAAUGAAUGUGUUUCCUGAGUGCCAUGCAACAGAAAGGGAGGCUCAUGAAAAUGUGACGGUGCAUCCUUAUUCACUGGAUCUGGCACUGUGU